Molecule: ribosomal RNA, 301 nt
Filed under: uncultured bacterium
Lineage: Bacteria
Description: partial 16S ribosomal RNA
Rfam family: Bacterial small subunit ribosomal RNA
Source: RNAcentral
CAGCCGCCACGGGAAUACGUAGGGUGCGAGCGUUAAUCGGAAUUACUGGGCGUAAAGCGUGCGCAGGCGGUUAUAUAAGACAGAUGUGAAAUCCCCGGGCUCAACCUGGGACCUGCAUUUGUGACUGUAUGGCUAGAGUACGGUAGAGGGGGAUGGAAUUCCGCGUGUAGCAGUGAAAUGCGUAGAUAUGCGGAGGAACACUGAUGGCGAAGGCAAUCCACUGGACCUGUACUGACGCUCAUGCACGAAAGCGUGGGGAGCAAACAGGAUUAGAUACCCCAGUAGUCCCUGUCUCUUAUAC